This 1517-nucleotide long non-coding RNA is filed under the name Chlamydomonas reinhardtii. Its description in RNAcentral is "long non-coding RNA (CREI_LNC000149)". Lineage: Eukaryota; Viridiplantae; Chlorophyta; Chlorophyceae; Chlamydomonadales; Chlamydomonadaceae. The record is from RNAcentral.
ACCGAAUGCAAGCCAAGCUUCGCGAACCUCCCGCUACCCCGGCCCUCCCCCGCUACCCCGCCCCCCCCCACCGCCCAUGCACACCUUGCCUCGUUGCACACGCCACCACACUGCCACCAUUGCUCUGCUCCGUCCGUCCGGAGUGACAGGAGUCGGCGGCGGCCGAUGCCGCGGCCGGCUUUACGAGGGGCGCGGCAGUGCUCAUCCGUCGGACGGGGAAGCGUCAGCAGCAGCGGGAACCGCGCCUGUGGGAGCACUUGCGGGCGAACUGGGCGGUCGCCGAGUUGGAAUUGGUGCGGGGGGACUCCGCUUGGAGCGGAGGGGUUUUUCUGUGGGGCCCGCUGGGAUCUGAGCGCCAGCAUAGGUGGGGCUACAAGAGAGUUGCAGAUGCUUAGAGCAGAGGGUGCUGUCUGUGGGGCCCGCUGGGAUCUGAGUGCCAGCAUAGGUGGGGCUACACGAGAGGGGCAGCUGCCGGUACGCUGGCGAGUCUUGAGCUGUCGGUAUUAGGAGGGAUUGGUGUGGGGGGUGGUCUCUGCCCGGCAACUAGGAAUGGCCGGGCAGACCCGUGCUGGUUAUUAGGCGCCGUAGAAAUUAGACGGCCGCGGGGCUGGGGCCAAGGGAAGCGGCGUGCGACUGUGUUUAGGCACGCCGCCCAAGUAAGGGCACAGCCGCUUACUCCCCAUAUCCAUUUGCCCUCCCCGGGUGAUGAACGUUUGCAAACUUGAGCAAGACGGUGAUCAUGACUUGCAUUGCGGUAUGUGGAAUGCUGUAAAUGGUGGGUGAUUGUUUCGUUUCCGAAGCCUGCCCUCAGCAGCCCUCCAUCUCAAAGGGCGGUUUUAAGUGGAGCUUCUAGUCAACUUGAACGGAACUUAAGACAGGUUUUGAAGGAGGGAAGCGGAGAAAUAGGCUGGCGAGGACGCGCAUGCUUGGUAGGCGAAGGCCGAGGAGAGAAGGGCGGGGGAACCGCCGUGUGUCGGAAGAUGGGCCCCAAUGCGUGAACGUGGCUCGAAAGACGGACUGUUUUUGGUUGCAUCGGUAUCGUGCGAGCUAUUAUUUACUUUACUUUGCGUUUUGGCGUACUAGCCGUGAACGGCUCGGGAGCCGAGGGCUAGUUUGUCUUUUCCCACCCGCCCACCCUACUUGAUUAUAAGCUUAUGGAGGCUUUGCUACCUAGCGCGGUUUUGAGUCACUCUUGUGUUUUUCGUCCCGGGGGGUGGUCUCUGCCCGGCAACUAGGAAUGGCCGGGCAGACCCGUGCUGGUUAUUAGGCGCCGUAGAAAUUAGACGGCCGCGGGGCUGGGGCCAAGGGAAGCGGCGUGCGACUGUGUUUAGGCACGCCGCCCAAGUAAGGGCACAGCCGCUUACUCCCCAUAUCCAUUUGCCCUCCCCGGGUGAUGAACGUUUGCAAACUUGAGCAAGACGGUGAUCAUGACUUGCAUUGCGGUAUGUGGAAUGCUGUAAAUGGUGGGUGAUUGUUUCGUUUCCGAAGCCUGCCCUCAGCAGCCCUCCAUCUCAAAC